ACGGAAGGCAGCAGUGGGGGAUAUUGCACAAUGGGGGAAACCCUGAUGCAGCGACGCCGCGUGAGUGAUGAAGUAUUUCGGUAUGUAAAGCUCUAUCAGCAGGGAAGAAAAUGACGGUACCUGACUAAGAAGCUCCGGCUAAAUACGUGCCAGCAGCCGCGGUAAUACGUAUGGAGCAAGCGUUAUCCGGAUUUACUGGGUGUAAAGGGAGCGUAGACGGCGUGGCAAGUCUGAUGUGAAAGCUAUGGGCUCAACCCAUAAACUGCAUUGGAAACUGUCAUGCUAGAGUAUCGGAGAGGUAAGCGGAAUUCCUAGUGUAGCGGUGAAAUGCGUAGAUAUUAGGAGGAACACCAGUGGCGAAGGCGGCUUACUGGACGAUAACUGACGUUGAGGCUCGAAAGCGUGGGGAGCAAACAGGAUUAGAUACCCUGGUA
Molecule: ribosomal RNA, 434 nt
Filed under: uncultured bacterium
Lineage: Bacteria
Description: partial 16S ribosomal RNA
Rfam family: Bacterial small subunit ribosomal RNA
Source: RNAcentral